UACGGAGGGUGCAAGCGUUAAUCGGAAUUACUGGGCGUAAAGCGCACGCAGGUGGCUGAGUCAGUCGAUUGUGAAAGCCCUGGGCUUAACCUGGGAAUUGCAGUCGAUACUACUCAGCUAGAGUAUGGGAGAGGGUAGUGGAAUUCCCGGUGUAGCGGUGAAAUGCGCAGAUAUCAGGAGGAACACCGGUGGCGAAGGCGGGUCUCUGGGCCGAUACUGACGCUGAGAAGCGAAAGCAUGGGGAGCGAACAGG
Molecule: ribosomal RNA, 253 nt
Filed under: uncultured bacterium
Lineage: Bacteria
Description: partial 16S ribosomal RNA
Rfam family: Bacterial small subunit ribosomal RNA
Source: RNAcentral